Molecule: long non-coding RNA, 661 nt
Organism: Drosophila persimilis
Lineage: Eukaryota; Metazoa; Arthropoda; Insecta; Diptera; Drosophilidae
Exons: 2
Source: RefSeq, a predicted model, not a curated record
UUACAGCUAGCGGAACAGACAUCGAGAAGAUUGGAGGAGACUGGUGAUGUUUUGAUUUGAAAAGCCCCAAAACAAGUUUUAUAUUGUUAAAAAGAAAGUUAUAUCACAAUGAGUAUAGAACUGUAAUAGCCCAAAACUCCGUCGGUUGGGUACAUUAUUUGUUUCAUCAAAGCGGAGAAGGAUAAGUAAAUAACUACGAUGCAGUGGUGGAUCUUUCAACACUUGCACCACUUAGCUGGUGGCUUAUCAAUGGGACGUUGGCGCUGCCGGUGACCGAAAGAAACGGCAAACAAGAAAAAAGAAGUUAAAGAAAACAGGUCUGAUACGGACAAGGUGAACAGGAGGCUCGCUUCACCGACCGACCGAUCGACCGAUCGACUCACUGGCCAACUGGCCCGACAAAUCGGAGAGUGUUGCGCGUAUGAUGCAAUGGCAAGGCUAGAGCGACAAAACAUAUAUAUUUUUUUUUGUUUAUCGCGUAAUGAAAUGGCUGUAAAUGUAUGUAAAUGCCAGCCUGAGGGGGUAGGGGUAAGUACUAGACACUUUCAACAACAGACGUGAGUAAGCACAAAUCAGUGCAAGCGAAAACUGCACCAAUAACAAACAACAAGAACAGCCAACUAUGUAAAUAACAACAAUAAUAAACGAUGUCAAGCACAAA